UGCCACAGCCAUAUCUCCCUGCAGCCCAAGACCGGUUACUCACUGAAGCUAAGCAGGGCUGAGCCUGGUCAGUACCUGGAUGGGAGACCACUUGGGAAAAUCUAGGUUGCUGUUGGAA
This 118-nucleotide ribosomal RNA is filed under the name Danio rerio (zebrafish). Lineage: Eukaryota; Metazoa; Chordata; Actinopteri; Cypriniformes; Danionidae. The record is from RNAcentral.